RNAcentral lists this ribosomal RNA (303 nucleotides) under uncultured bacterium. RNAcentral describes it as "partial 16S ribosomal RNA". It matches the Rfam family "Bacterial small subunit ribosomal RNA", at positions 507 to 809 of the family's 1533-position model. The record is from RNAcentral.
AGCAGUCGCCACGGUAAUACGUAGGUGGCGAGCGUUGUCCGGAAUCAUUGGGCGUAAAGGGAGCGCAGGCGGGCAAGUAAGUCUUUCUUAAAAGUUCGGGGCUCAACCCCGUGAUGGGAAAGAAACUACAUGUCUUGAGUACAGGAGAGGAAAGCGGAAUUCCCAGUGUAGCGGUGAAAUGCGUAGAUAUUGGGAGGAACACCAGUGACGAAGGCGGCUUUCUGGACUGCAACUGACGCUGAGGCUCGAAAGCCAGGGGAGCGAACGGGAUUAGAUACCCCCGUAGUCCCUGUCUCUUAUACA